RNAcentral lists this ribosomal RNA (57 nucleotides) under uncultured Bacteroides sp. Its description in RNAcentral is "partial 16S rRNA". Lineage: Bacteria; Pseudomonadati; Bacteroidota; Bacteroidia; Bacteroidales; Bacteroidaceae. The record is from RNAcentral.
CGGGCUUGAAUUGCAACUGAAUGAUGUGGAGACAUGUCAGCCGCAAGGCAGUUGUGA